Molecule: unclassified non-coding RNA, 239 nt
Filed under: Hevea brasiliensis (rubber tree)
Lineage: Eukaryota; Viridiplantae; Streptophyta; Magnoliopsida; Malpighiales; Euphorbiaceae
Source: RNAcentral
AAAAGAAGAAGAAGAAGAGCACAUGAAUCAAUGGCUGUUCAACUAUUUGGUCUGCGGUAUGAAAUCUAUGAAGCCAAAAUCUAAGAAGGACAUAAAAUGUAGCCUGAAAUACGAUUUUCUUGAAGGUUAAGGUUUGUCUAAGCCUGUAUGUAUGUGGAUUGAAUAUGGAAUUGAUCAUUCAUUGCCCAUUACAUGCUACAACCUAAGAGAUAAAGCGAGCAGGAAAAUGAACACUAAUU